Molecule: long non-coding RNA, 1894 nt
Organism: Patella vulgata (common limpet)
Lineage: Eukaryota; Metazoa; Mollusca; Gastropoda; Patellidae
Exons: 3
Source: RefSeq, a predicted model, not a curated record
UGACAAUCGUGGGCCUUAUAUCGUUACGUUCAUAUAUAUAUUUAUAUGUUGAUUUAGAAAGGGGAUCUGACUCUGUCAAAUCAAUCCAAGAUGACUUCUCUAAUAUCUGUUCCAGUUCGUGAACCUUAUAAAUUGGUUAAUCAUCAGUUUGAUGGACAACCAAUAACGGAAGUGGCUAGUAUCUUUCGACCUGAUUUUGACACGUUUAUAACCGGGAAAGAUAAACUACAUAAAUGGGCCAUGUGGAGAACAAAUGUCAAUCAUUCCUUUAUCAGAAAUCUACCUGUUCCAUCACGAAAUGCCCAGCCUGUGGAUGAAGCAACAGUAAGAGAGAAGAGAAUUGAUAUCGAUCGUUUUUUAAUCUAUUCCGACACCGAUGAGCUGAAACGUUUACACAUGAAAGACACGUACGGUACUUGUGACUAUUUUACAUCACGAUUGGGCGAAUCAACGUAUUUCCUGUAUGGCUUGCCGCGCAUAUGUCUUCAAAGUGCACCGCCCGAAUCUCGCCAAGUCAGAACAGAAACCAUAGUGAUAGAAGAACCCGAGCCGGUGCCACCACCGCCUAAACCCCAAACACAAAUGUUUGUUGGAGCUGGUCAGUUAGCUAAACAUUUGGAUGGUCAAUCUUUAAAACCCAUAGAACUAUCUCAUGCUCAGAAAAUCAAGUAUGGUCAAAUACCGGAGAAUCUAACAGCAAGUCUAGCCCCCAGUGUGGCCCCCAGUGUGGCGCCUAGUGUGGCCCCUAGUGUGAGAACUAUAGCCCCAACCGAAGUCUACCAGGAAGUGUGGAAGAAAACGUAUCUGGUGAAGGACAACCAUGAUGAUAUGUCUGUCCAUGAUUUCAGAUGGGAUUCACGUACCGUUGCUAGCGAUACGGAUGAUUCCGAUAAAAUUGCGGGUAAUGGCUACAUUACCGUAGACAAUGAAAUCGAGAGUUAUCACUUUUAAAACCCGAACUCAGAUUGAAUGUGGGUGUUUCUACAAUUCGUAUUUAUUCCCAAUUGUAAAGUUAUUUAGACAUAUAUGCCUGCUUUUCAUAGUUAAUAUGGAUGCUGAAAAGUAUGACAAUGCCUGGAGAGUAACUUUGUUAAACAAACAUUAUUCAAGUGCUAAAUCUGCCUAUUUGCAAGUCUUUCUUUAGGCCUUAAAUGUUAUAUAAACUAUUAAUUAGACAUUUAUUAACAUGACAGGACCAUAAUCAACUCUCGAUGCCAUCUGAUGGGUACGAUGUUAAACAGAUUUGAAUCCAACCUGCGAUGCAACGGCUGUUUAUUAUCGUAACAACGGCAACAAUGAUAAUCGAGUCUACAGCGUUUUUUAAAUUCGGUUUUCUCGUCUCAGAGUGAAGUAGUUUGACUGAAAUAUUCAGCAUAUUCCCUUUGCAUUAUCUAGUGUUUAACUACUAUCUAAUCUUCCAUGAUGCCCCUUUAACGUUAUGGACGAAGUAAAAUGAAUCUGUUGUGAAAUGGAGACUGUUACAAUUGCAGUAGCCUAGCUUAAGCGGGGCGUGUACUCUUUAGGGACUGCACUUUUUUUUUUCUUUUUUUUUUUGGUUUACUGCAUUGAAAACAAGUUUGUUGUUUCUGUCGGAACAGUGAUUGUUUUUCAAAUUUUAGUUUCGUUUCGCACGAAAGCCCAGCUUACUGAUGUGGAACAUACCUUGGCCGUCACAAACCCACUUUCCACCCGCUCCCUAGCCAAUUCAACAGCAAAUUUGUUUUCAGAAACCGAAUGGCGGAUUAUUUUUUGCUUUGCACUCUACGCUUAAUUACCAUUGCUUAUAAUACAUAUCUUCACGGUAAGAUAAAAACAUCAAUAUUGAUAGAAAUAGACUGUUAUUGAAUUCGUGUAUUAAAGUCGCAGAUUAUGGAUGUUAUUGAGUUAGAAAUUU